RNAcentral lists this ribosomal RNA (460 nucleotides) under uncultured bacterium. RNAcentral's name for it is "partial 16S ribosomal RNA". It matches the Rfam family "Bacterial small subunit ribosomal RNA", at positions 338 to 795 of the family's 1533-position model. The record is from RNAcentral.
CCUACGGGUGGCAGCAGUGAGGAAUAUUGGUCAAUGGGCGGAAGCCUGAACCAGCCAAGUAGCGUGCAGGAUGACGGCCCUACGGGUUGUAAACUGCUUUUAUACGGGAAUAACGUGCCUUACGUGUAGGGCUUUGUAUGUACCGUAUGAAUAAGGACCGGCUAAUUCCGUGCCAGCAGCCGCGGUAAUACGGAGGGUCCGGGCGUUAUCCGGAUUUAUUGGGUUUAAAGGGAGCGUAGGCGGCUUGUCAAGGUUGCUGUGAAAUGUUCGGGCUCAACCCGGGCCUUGCAGCGGAAACUGGCGUGCUUGAGUCCGCGGAAGGCAGGCGGAAUUCGUCGUGUAGCGGUGAAAUGCUUAGAUAUGACGAAGAACCCCGAUUGCGAAGGCAGCUUGCUGCAGCGGAACUGACGCUGAUGCUCGAAAGCGUGGGUAUCGAACAGGAUUAGAUACCCGUGUAGUC